This is a long non-coding RNA of Entelurus aequoreus (snake pipefish), 674 nucleotides long. RefSeq lists it as uncharacterized. The transcript has 3 exons. The record is from RefSeq and is a predicted model, not a curated record. NCBI's taxonomy places the organism in Eukaryota, Metazoa, Chordata, Actinopteri, Syngnathiformes, Syngnathidae.
AAUGCCAGUGCGCACUGGGCAUCAAAAGCGCAGCUAGAGGCAAAACAAUGUCACAAAAAAGGACAUAUCCUUCAGGUGCAGAAAAAAGGAAGAAGAAGAAAGUGGAAGAGGAGAAAAAAUGCCAUGAUAAAGGAGCAUUGUUAAAAUACUUUGGAGGCACAGAAUCAGCCCAGAGCCAGUCCACAUCCUCAGGCUCAACUGUGAGUGAUGAAUCAGGUCCAUCUCCAUCCUCUACAGUGCUCUCUCACACACCUCCAUCCUCUGUGCCCACUGUCCCCUCCAUGUCUGAAACCACAGCUGAUUUAUCUAGUAAGUUAACUGCAAAACACCCUUUAAAAUUGCUCAUUGUACUGCAGAACAUUCUGAGAUUAAUAAUUAUGUCCAACAGUGCAAUUUAAUGACCUUAUAGGUCCUUCUUUUUUAGUCAUUGUCUUUCUUUGGUCACUUCCUCAGCAGACAAGGUAAGAGAGGCUUUGUUAGAAGUCAGGGAAAAAACUACUGACCCUACACUAAAAGUUGGCUCAAGAAAGACUGAGUGGACUGGCAGUGAUUAGUAUUAAUAACAAAGUCGGCCAUCAGAUUUCUUACAGUGAUGUCAUAAAUGACUUUGCCUCCAGAAAAGCCAGGAAGCACAGGUUUUAAGGAGUGGGUGGAGUGGUGUGGGUGGUGAAGAA